This 1554-nucleotide ribosomal RNA is filed under the name Enterobacter hormaechei subsp. oharae. RNAcentral describes it as "bacterial SSU rRNA". It matches the Rfam family "Bacterial small subunit ribosomal RNA". The record is from RNAcentral. Lineage: Bacteria; Pseudomonadati; Pseudomonadota; Gammaproteobacteria; Enterobacterales; Enterobacteriaceae.
UUAAAUUGAAGAGUUUGAUCAUGGCUCAGAUUGAACGCUGGCGGCAGGCCUAACACAUGCAAGUCGAACGGUAACAGGAAGCAGCUUGCUGCUUCGCUGACGAGUGGCGGACGGGUGAGUAAUGUCUGGGAAACUGCCUGAUGGAGGGGGAUAACUACUGGAAACGGUAGCUAAUACCGCAUAAUGUCGCAAGACCAAAGAGGGGGACCUUCGGGCCUCUUGCCAUCGGAUGUGCCCAGAUGGGAUUAGCUAGUAGGUGGGGUAACGGCUCACCUAGGCGACGAUCCCUAGCUGGUCUGAGAGGAUGACCAGCCACACUGGAACUGAGACACGGUCCAGACUCCUACGGGAGGCAGCAGUGGGGAAUAUUGCACAAUGGGCGCAAGCCUGAUGCAGCCAUGCCGCGUGUAUGAAGAAGGCCUUCGGGUUGUAAAGUACUUUCAGCGGGGAGGAAGGCGGUGAGGUUAAUAACCUCAUCGAUUGACGUUACCCGCAGAAGAAGCACCGGCUAACUCCGUGCCAGCAGCCGCGGUAAUACGGAGGGUGCAAGCGUUAAUCGGAAUUACUGGGCGUAAAGCGCACGCAGGCGGUCUGUCAAGUCGGAUGUGAAAUCCCCGGGCUCAACCUGGGAACUGCAUUCGAAACUGGCAGGCUAGAGUCUUGUAGAGGGGGGUAGAAUUCCAGGUGUAGCGGUGAAAUGCGUAGAGAUCUGGAGGAAUACCGGUGGCGAAGGCGGCCCCCUGGACAAAGACUGACGCUCAGGUGCGAAAGCGUGGGGAGCAAACAGGAUUAGAUACCCUGGUAGUCCACGCCGUAAACGAUGUCGACUUGGAGGUUGUGCCCUUGAGGCGUGGCUUCCGGAGCUAACGCGUUAAGUCGACCGCCUGGGGAGUACGGCCGCAAGGUUAAAACUCAAAUGAAUUGACGGGGGCCCGCACAAGCGGUGGAGCAUGUGGUUUAAUUCGAUGCAACGCGAAGAACCUUACCUACUCUUGACAUCCAGAGAACUUUCCAGAGAUGGAUUGGUGCCUUCGGGAACUCUGAGACAGGUGCUGCAUGGCUGUCGUCAGCUCGUGUUGUGAAAUGUUGGGUUAAGUCCCGCAACGAGCGCAACCCUUAUCCUUUGUUGCCAGCGGUCCGGCCGGGAACUCAAAGGAGACUGCCAGUGAUAAACUGGAGGAAGGUGGGGAUGACGUCAAGUCAUCAUGGCCCUUACGAGUAGGGCUACACACGUGCUACAAUGGCGCAUACAAAGAGAAGCGACCUCGCGAGAGCAAGCGGACCUCAUAAAGUGCGUCGUAGUCCGGAUUGGAGUCUGCAACUCGACUCCAUGAAGUCGGAAUCGCUAGUAAUCGUGGAUCAGAAUGCCACGGUGAAUACGUUCCCGGGCCUUGUACACACCGCCCGUCACACCAUGGGAGUGGGUUGCAAAAGAAGUAGGUAGCUUAACCUUCGGGAGGGCGCUUACCACUUUGUGAUUCAUGACUGGGGUGAAGUCGUAACAAGGUAACCGUAGGGGAACCUGCGGUUGGAUCACCUCCUUACCUUAAAGAA